AUUGGAGGGCAAGUCUGGUGCCAGCAGCCGCGGUAAUUCCAGCUCCAAUAGCGUAUAUUAAACUUGUUGCAGUUAAAAAGCUCGUAGUUGAAUUUCUGCGUCACCGUAUUUUGACUUUUGUCGACUGUCGGUUUCGCUUUUGGGAUUUAUCCCUUUUUACUUUGAGAAAAUUAGAGUGUUUCAAGCAGACUUUUGUCUUGAAUACUUCAGCAUGGAAUAAUAGAGUAGGACUUUGGUUCUAUUUUGUUGGUUUGUGAACCUUAGUAAUGGUUAAUAGGAACGGUUGGGGGCAUUCGUAUUUAACUGUCAGAGGUGAAAUUCUUAGAUUUGUUAAAGACGAACUACUGCGAAAGCAUUUGCCAAGGACGUUUUCAUUAAUCAAGAACGAAAGUUAGGGGAUCGAAGACGAUCAGAUACCGUCGUAGUCCUAACCAUAAACU
RNAcentral lists this ribosomal RNA (440 nucleotides) under Babesia odocoilei. RNAcentral's name for it is "SSU rRNA". It matches the Rfam family "Eukaryotic small subunit ribosomal RNA", at positions 547 to 1038 of the family's 1831-position model. The record is from RNAcentral. Lineage: Eukaryota; Apicomplexa; Aconoidasida; Piroplasmida; Babesiidae.